UGGGGAAUAUUGGUCAAUGGGCGAAAGCCUGAACCAGCAAUGCCGCGUGAGUGAUGAAGGCCUUCGGGUUGUAAAGCUCUGUCGGGAGGGACGAAAAAGUCGGGGUAACGCCCGGUCUUGACGGUACCUCCAAAGGAAGCACCGGCUAACUCUGUGCCAGCAGCCGCGGUAAUACAGAGGGUGCAAGCGUUGUUCGGAAUUACUGGGCGUAAAGCGCGUGUAGGCGGCGGCGUAAGUCGGAUGUGAAAUCCCUCGGCUCAACCGAGGAAGUGCAUCCGAUACUGUGUCGCUUGAGUGCCGGAGGGGGUGGCGGAAUUCCCGGUGUAGAGGUGAAAUUCGUAGAUAUCGGGAGGAACACCUGUGGCGAAGGCGGCCACCUGGACGGUGACUGACGCUGAGACGCGAAAGCGUGGGUAGCAAACA
Molecule: ribosomal RNA, 423 nt
Filed under: uncultured Myxococcales bacterium
Lineage: Bacteria; Pseudomonadati; Myxococcota; Myxococcia; Myxococcales
Description: partial 16S ribosomal RNA
Rfam family: Bacterial small subunit ribosomal RNA
Source: RNAcentral